AUUUUGACCUCGGAUCAGGUAGGGAUACCCGCUGAACUUAAGCAUAUCAAUAAGCGGAGGAAAAGAAACCAACAGGGAUUGCCCUAGUAACGGCGAGUGAAGCGGCAACAGCUCAAAUUUGAAAUCUGGCUCUUUCAGGGUCCGAGUUGUAAUUUGUAGAGGGUGCUUUGGAGUUGACUGUGGUCUAAGUUCCUUGGAACAGGACGUCGCAGAGGGUGAGAAUCCCGUAUGCGGCCGCCAGUCUUCUCCGUGUAAAGCCCCUUCGACGAGUCGAGUUGUUUGGGAAUGCAGCUCUAAAUGGGAGGUAAAUUUCUUCUAAAGCUAAAUAUUGGCCAGAGACCGAUAGCGCACAAGUAGAGUGAUCGAGAGAUGAAAAGCACUUUGGAAAGAGAGUCAAAAAGCACGUGAAAUUGUUGAAAGGGAAGCGCUUGCAGCCAGACUUGCCUGUAGUUGCUCAUCCGGGCUUUUGCCCGGUGCACUCUUCUAUAGGCAGGCCAGCAUCAGUCGCGGCGGUUGGAUAAAUGUCUGCACAAUGUACCUCUCUUCGGGGAGGACUUAUAGGGCAGACGGCAUACAACCAGCUGCGAUUGAGGUCCGCGCAUCUGCUAGGAUGCUGGCGUAAUGGCUGUAGGCGGCCCGUCUUGAAACACGGACCAAGGAGUCUAACAUCUAUGCGAGUGUUUGGGUGUCAAGCCCGAGCGCGUAAUGAAAGUGAACGGAGGUGGGAACCCCUCGGGGUGCACCAUCGACCGAUCCUGAUGUCUUCGGAUGGAUUUGAGUAAGAGCAUAGCUGUUGGGACCCGAAAGAUGGUGAACUAUGCCUGAAUAGGGUGAAGCCAGAGGAAACUCUGGUGGAGGCUCGCAGCGGUUCUGACGUGCAAAUCGAUCGUCAA
This 893-nucleotide ribosomal RNA is filed under the name uncultured Ascomycota. RNAcentral describes it as "eukaryotic LSU rRNA". It matches the Rfam family "Eukaryotic large subunit ribosomal RNA", at positions 1 to 908 of the family's 3401-position model. Lineage: Eukaryota; Fungi; Ascomycota. The record is from RNAcentral.